GACGAACGCUGGCGGCGUGCCUAACACAUGCAAGUCGAACGGAACUGUUUUGAAAGAUUUCUUCGGAAUGAAUUUGAUUUAGUUUAGUGGCGGACGGGUGAGUAACGCGUGAGUAACCUGCCUUCAAGAGGGGGAUAACAUUCUGAAAAGAAUGCUAAUACCGCAUGACAUAUCGGAAUCACAUGAUUUUGAUAUCAAAGAUUUUAUCGCUUGAAGAUGGACUCGCGUCCGAUUAGUUAGUUGGUGAGGUAACGGCUCACCAAGACCGCGAUCGGUAGCCGGACUGAGAGGUUGAACGGCCACAUUGGGACUGAGACACGGCCCAGACUCCUACGGGAGGCAGCAGUGGGGGAUAUUGCGCAAUGGGGGCAACCCUGACGCAGCAACGCCGCGUGAAGGAUGAAGGUUUUCGGAUUGUAAACUUCUUUUAUUAAGG
RNAcentral lists this ribosomal RNA (436 nucleotides) under uncultured bacterium. RNAcentral's name for it is "bacterial SSU rRNA". It matches the Rfam family "Bacterial small subunit ribosomal RNA", at positions 28 to 444 of the family's 1533-position model. The record is from RNAcentral.